CCUACGGGUGGCUGCAGUGGGGAAUAUUGGACAAUGGGGGCAACCCUGAUCCAGCCAUGCCGCGUGUGUGAAGAAGGCCUUCGGGUUGUAAAGCACUUUAAGCAGGGAGGAAGGCUCGUUGGUUAAUAACCAGCGGGAGUGACGUUACCUGCAGAAUAAGCACCGGCAAACUCCGUGCCAGCAGCCGCGGUAAUACGGAGGGUGCGAGCGUUAGUCGGAAUUACUGGGCGGAAAUGUUACGUAGGAGGUUAAAUCCCCGGGCUCAACCUGGGUGCUGCAUUCGAUACUGGCAGACUUGAAUACGGUAGAGGGGGGUGGAAUUCCAGGUGUAGCGGUGAAAUGCGUAGAGAUCUGGAGGAACACCAGUGGCGAAGGCGGCCCCCUGGACCGAUAUUGACGCUGAGGUACGAAAGCGUGGGGAGCAAACAGGAUUAGAUACCCUAGUAGUC
Molecule: ribosomal RNA, 449 nt
Filed under: uncultured bacterium
Lineage: Bacteria
Description: partial 16S ribosomal RNA
Rfam family: Bacterial small subunit ribosomal RNA
Source: RNAcentral